UACGUAGGUGGCAAGCGUUGUCCGGAUUUACUGGGCGUAAAGAGCGCGCAGGCGGUCGUUCAAGUCGCGUGUGAAAGCCCCCGGCUCAACUGGGGAGGGUCACGCGAUACUGAUCGACUGGAAGGCAGGAGAGGGUAGUGGAAUUCCCGGUGUAGUGGUGAAAUGCGUAGAUAUCGGGAGGAACACCAGUGGCGAAGGCGACUACCUGGCCUGUUCUUGACGCUGAGGAGCGAAAGCGUGGGGAGCGAACAGG
This 253-nucleotide ribosomal RNA is filed under the name uncultured bacterium. RNAcentral describes it as "partial 16S ribosomal RNA". It matches the Rfam family "Bacterial small subunit ribosomal RNA", at positions 524 to 776 of the family's 1533-position model. The record is from RNAcentral.